This is a long non-coding RNA of Aegilops tauschii subsp. strangulata, 361 nucleotides long. RefSeq lists it as uncharacterized. The record is from RefSeq and is a predicted model, not a curated record. NCBI's taxonomy places the organism in Eukaryota, Viridiplantae, Streptophyta, Magnoliopsida, Poales, Poaceae.
UCCUCCUUCUCCUCUCCGUCUCUCGAUCCAACCCAAGCACCACCGCCGACCCUUCCCAACCCCGGCCUCGUCCACCGCCGGCGACCCCUUCUCUCCCUCCCUCCCUCCACCUCCAUCAGCGGAUCCACUCGAGCAGCAUCUCAGGCCGCCAUCAGAUCCACCCUCCUUGCGCUGGACGGAAACCCUAGCCGCCCGUCCAUGGCGACCCACCGCAGCACCCAAAGGCCUCGACGACGGCGGUAUGGUAGGAGCAACGGCGACCAGCGACGGCCAUGGCGACCCACCGCAGCCUCCAAGACCUCGACAACGGUCGGUGCUAUGGUGAGGUACAGCAACCAGUGAUGGGACAACGCCUAAAUCC